UACAGAGGUCUCAAGCGUUGUUCGGAUUCAUUGGGCGUAAAGGGUGCGUAGGCGGCGCGGUAAGUCGGGUGUGAAAUCUCGGAGCUUAACUCCGAAACUGCAUUCGAUACUGCCGUGCUUGAGGACUGGAGAGGAGACUGGAAUUUACGGUGUAGCGGUGAAAUGCGUAGAUAUCGUAAGGAAGACCAGUGGCGAAGGCGGGUCUCUGGGCAAUAACUGACGCUGAGGAGCGAAAGCGUGGGGAGCAAACGGG
RNAcentral lists this ribosomal RNA (253 nucleotides) under uncultured bacterium. RNAcentral's name for it is "partial 16S ribosomal RNA". It matches the Rfam family "Bacterial small subunit ribosomal RNA", at positions 524 to 776 of the family's 1533-position model. The record is from RNAcentral.